UCAGUUACUGGAUAGAAGACCACAAAGAGAAUAUUUGUCAUCGAUUAGGAUGAACAUAUCAAGGAUAAACUCUACAAAGGGGAGAAAAGCAGGAUUUACAACUACCGGUUACUGGGCAGAAUACCGCAGAUGAGAAUAUUCGUCAUCGAUUAGGAUGAACAUGUCAAGGAUAAGCUUAAAGAAGGGGAAGAAAAUAUCUGUCACCGGUUAACAUGAACAUAUCAAGGAUAUACUUCCUGGGGAAACGUGA
This 250-nucleotide long non-coding RNA is filed under the name Lathyrus oleraceus (garden pea). RNAcentral describes it as "Pisum sativum (pea) long non-coding RNA (PSAT_LNC019313)". Lineage: Eukaryota; Viridiplantae; Streptophyta; Magnoliopsida; Fabales; Fabaceae. The record is from RNAcentral.